This 71-nucleotide transfer RNA is filed under the name Cnuella takakiae. It matches the Rfam family "tRNA". From Rfam's summary of the family: Transfer RNA (tRNA) molecules are approximately 80 nucleotides in length. The record is from Rfam by way of RNAcentral. Lineage: Bacteria; Pseudomonadati; Bacteroidota; Chitinophagia; Chitinophagales; Chitinophagaceae.
UGUCACGUGGCCGAGUGGCGAGGCAAAGGCCGGCAAAGCCUUAUACGGAGGUUCGAUCCCUCCCGUGGCGU